ACCAGAGUAGAAAAAUAUGGUUCGAAAUAGAUUAAAAUAGUAAGAAAAAUGGGGCUUAGAUCCAAGGAGAAUAGAAGAGGAGGGAAGAGAGCUCAUCGGUGAUCAACAAAAGUGGCGAAUCAUGUUUGAUGGCAGCAAUUUUUCGACAUUUCAAAAGGUAUGAAAUCGAGCAAAAAUAGGGCAUUAGGGAGAAAAAGAGGUGUUUUGGGUGGCCAAAUUUGACCUAUGGUGUUUUGUCGGCCA
RNAcentral lists this long non-coding RNA (243 nucleotides) under Elaeis guineensis (African oil palm). RNAcentral's name for it is "long non-coding RNA (EGUI_LNC003410)". The record is from RNAcentral. Lineage: Eukaryota; Viridiplantae; Streptophyta; Magnoliopsida; Arecales; Arecaceae.